This 137-nucleotide ribosomal RNA is filed under the name uncultured bacterium. RNAcentral's name for it is "partial 16S ribosomal RNA". It matches the Rfam family "Bacterial small subunit ribosomal RNA", at positions 355 to 509 of the family's 1533-position model. The record is from RNAcentral.
UGGGGAAUAUUGCACAAUGGGCGAAAGCCUGAUGCAGCGACGCCGCGUGAAGGAAGAAGUAUUUCGGUAUGUAAACUUCUAUCAGCAGGGAAGAAAAUGACGGUACCUGACUAAGAAGCCCCGGCUAACUACGUGCC